GAGAAGAAGACGAAGAAGAAGAAAA
This 25-nucleotide small RNA is filed under the name Arabidopsis thaliana (thale cress). RNAcentral describes it as "ATSL178410". The record is from RNAcentral. Lineage: Eukaryota; Viridiplantae; Streptophyta; Magnoliopsida; Brassicales; Brassicaceae.